Molecule: ribosomal RNA, 468 nt
Filed under: uncultured bacterium
Lineage: Bacteria
Description: partial 16S ribosomal RNA
Rfam family: Bacterial small subunit ribosomal RNA
Source: RNAcentral
GACGAACGCUGGCGGCGUGCCUAACACAUGCAAGUCGAACGGAAAGGUCCUGCUUUUGUGCGGUGCUCGAGUGGCGAACGGGUGAGUAACACGUGAGUAACCUGUACCUGACUUUGGGAUAACUUCAGGAAACUGGGGCUAUUACCGCAUAGGAUCUCUUGCUGCAUGGUGGGCGUUGGUAAGUUUCGGCGGUUGGGGAUGGACUCGCGGCUUAUCAGCUUGUUGGUGGGGUAGUGGCUUACCAAGGCUUUGACGGGUAGCCGGCCUGCGCGGGUGACCGGCCACAUUGGGACUGAGAUGCGGCCCCGGCUCCUACUGGAGGGCGAAGUGGGAAAGAUUGCACAAGGAGCGGAGGCCUGAUGCUGCAACGCCGCGUGCGGGAUAACGGCCUUCGGGUUGUAGACCGAUUGCGCCUGUGACGAAGCGUGUGUGGCGGUAAUGGGUAAAGAAACACCGGCUUACUACGUG